GACGAACGCUGGCGGCGUGCUUAACACAUGCAAGUCGAACGGAAAGGCCCUGCCUUUGCUGGGUGCUCGAGUGGCGAACGGGAGAGUAACACGUGAGUAACCUGCGCUGGACUUUGGGAUAACUUGAGGAAACUGGGGCUAAUACAGGCUAGGAGCUCCUGCUGCAUGGUGGGGGUUGGAAAGUUUCGGCGGUUGGGGAUGGACGCGCGGCUUAUCAGCUUGUGGGGGGGAUAGUGGCUUACCAAGGCUUUGACGGAUAGCCGGCCUGAGAGGGUGACCGCCCACAUUGGGACUGAGAUACGGCCCAGACUCCUACGGGAGACAGCGGUGGGGAAUAUUGCACAGUGGGCGCAAGCGUGAUGCGGAAACGCCGCGUUCGGGAUGACGGCCUUCGAGGUGUAAACCGCUUUCGCCUGUGACGAAGCGUGAGUGACGGUAAUGGGUAAAGAAGCACCGGCUAACUACGUG
RNAcentral lists this ribosomal RNA (468 nucleotides) under uncultured bacterium. RNAcentral describes it as "partial 16S ribosomal RNA". It matches the Rfam family "Bacterial small subunit ribosomal RNA", at positions 28 to 507 of the family's 1533-position model. The record is from RNAcentral.